GGAUAUUGCGCAGUGGGCGAAAGCCUGACGCAGCGACGCCGCGUGGGUGAUGAAGGCCUUCGGGUCGUAAAGCCCUGUCGAGGGGGACGAAUCGGUUGCGACUUAAUACGUCGUGAUCCUGACGGUACCCCUAAAGGAAGCACCGGCUAACUCCGUGCCAGCAGCCGCGGUAAUACGGAGGGUGCAAGCGUUGUUCGGAAUCACUGGGCGUAAAGCGCGUGUAGGCGGCCCAUUAAGUCUGAUGUGAAAGCCCGGGGCUCACCCCCGGAAGUGCAUUGGAAACUGAUGGACUCGAGUCCCGGAGAGGAGGGUGGAAUUCCUGGUGUAGCGGUGAAAUGCGUAGAUAUCAGGAGGAACACCGGUGGCGAAGGCGGCCCUCUGGACGGUGACUGACGCUGAGACGCGAAAGCGUGGGGAGCAAACAGG
Molecule: ribosomal RNA, 426 nt
Filed under: uncultured bacterium
Lineage: Bacteria
Description: bacterial SSU rRNA
Rfam family: Bacterial small subunit ribosomal RNA
Source: RNAcentral